RNAcentral lists this ribosomal RNA (253 nucleotides) under uncultured bacterium. RNAcentral's name for it is "partial 16S ribosomal RNA". It matches the Rfam family "Bacterial small subunit ribosomal RNA", at positions 524 to 776 of the family's 1533-position model. The record is from RNAcentral.
UACGUAGGGUGCAAGCGUUGUCCGGAAUUAUUGGGCGUAAAGAGCUCGUAGGCGGUUUGUCGCGUCUGCUGUGAAAACUCGGGGCUUAACCCCGGGCCUGCAGUGGGUACGGGCAGACUAGAGUGCGGUAGGGGAGACUGGAAUUCCUGGUGUAGCGGUGAAAUGCGCAGAUAUCAGGAGGAACACCGGUGGCGAAGGCGGCAUCCUGGACCGGCAUUGACGCUGAGGCGCGAAAGCCAGGGGAGCAAACGGG